GACAGAGGUCUCAAGCGUUGUUCGGAUUCAUUGGGCGUAAAGGGUGCGUAGGCGGCGAGGUAAGUCUGGUGUGAAAUCCUGGGGCUCAACCCCAGAAUGGCACUGGAUACUGCCUUGCUAGAGGACUGGAGAGGAGAUUGGAAUUCACGGUGUAGCAGUGAAAUGCGUAGAUAUCGUGAGGAAGACCAGUGGCGAAGGCGAAUCUCUGGACAGAUCCUGACGCUGAGGCACGAAGGCUAGGGGAGCAAACGGG
RNAcentral lists this ribosomal RNA (253 nucleotides) under uncultured bacterium. RNAcentral describes it as "partial 16S ribosomal RNA". It matches the Rfam family "Bacterial small subunit ribosomal RNA", at positions 524 to 776 of the family's 1533-position model. The record is from RNAcentral.